GACGAACGCUGGCGGCGUGCUUAACACAUGCAAGUCGAACGGAAAGGCCCUGUUUCUGUGGGGUGCUCGAGUGGCGAACGGGUGAGUAACCCGUGAGUAACCUGCCCUUGACUUUGGGAUAACUUCAGGAAACUGGGGCUAAUACCGGAUAGGAGCUCCUGCUGCAGGGUGGGGGUUGGAAAGUGUCGGCGGUUGGGGAUGGACUCGCGGCUUAUGAGCCUGUUGGUGGGGUCGUGGCUUACCAAGGCUUUGACGGGUAGCCGGCCGGAGCGGGUGACCGGCAACAAUGGGACUGAGGUACGGCCCAGACUCCUACGGGAGGCAGCAGUGGGGAAGAUUGUACAAUGGGCGGAGGCCUGAUGCAGCAACGACGCGUGGGGGAUGACGGCCGUCGGGUUGUAGACCGCUUUCGCCUGUGACGAAGCGUGAGUGACGGUAAUGGGUAAAGAAGCACCGGCUAACUACGUG
RNAcentral lists this ribosomal RNA (468 nucleotides) under uncultured bacterium. Its description in RNAcentral is "partial 16S ribosomal RNA". It matches the Rfam family "Bacterial small subunit ribosomal RNA", at positions 28 to 507 of the family's 1533-position model. The record is from RNAcentral.